This 1032-nucleotide long non-coding RNA is filed under the name Homo sapiens (human). RNAcentral's name for it is "HSALNT0328974". The record is from RNAcentral. Lineage: Eukaryota; Metazoa; Chordata; Mammalia; Primates; Hominidae.
UGGAGGCGAAGAGAUCAGGAGCAGUAAAGGAACACUCUCUUCCCCAGUCAGCUGGGAUACGGAUUUUGUAAGGCCUAGGGACUUUGUCUUUGGAGGUCCUGUCUCCAUAAGGCUUCCCAAAACAAAGAAUGUUCAGAUUGGACUGGCCUUAAAAUGCAGUAUUUAAAACAGCAACAUGUCUGACAGAUCCGAGAAAUGAAAUACGUCCAUUUCUUUUGGCAAGGAGCAGAAGGCAACAUAAAGCAGCUGCAAGAAUUAAUUCAUGGAGAUAGUUGACAUUUUCGAGCUGACUGCCUCUUAGAGAAAAUGAUGUCAUUCUCCAGCAGCCUAAUGACAGUCAUCAGCCUGAGAGGACACAUGCUAAUAAGACUAUCACCAGCAAAGAAUUUUCUGAGCAAAUGUGUACUGGAGACCUUCUGAGGAACCCACUAGAGCCUGCACAUCCCCUUUUCCUAGCAAGGUCAACUGGAAAACAGUGUUCUUUCCAAGAUAACGUGCAACUUUCCUUUGGAAUGAUCAGCAGAAUGUCAAAUAAGGAAAGGACAUGUAGAGUUCAUGGGAGGAGACAUUACUUCUGGCUGCAGAAUUAUGGAGGCUUUAUGGGAGACGCCGUAUAUUUUAUCUGUGCGCCUUGAUCACGUGUCUGACCAUGGACAGAGAAACCAGCCUAAUGAGCCUUCUUUACAGGUGACCCUCUAGCCCUUGGUGAACAUCUUGUUUUUAUUCUUUCUUAAUUCCAACACUUAUUCUUGACAACUUUACAAAUGAACAAAUCUUAUUUACUAAAUUGUUGAUGUAGUUUUUGUCUAACACAGGGCUGAUUUUACCCUUGAGAGACGGACACAAGGCUUCAUUUAGGGGAGGAUUAGGUUUGAUGUUUAUUCACUGCACGAGGCAGAUUGGUUUUAGAGACAUGGGUUACAGUCUUGGCUUUUCCUGUUACUGCUUUUGGGUCUUUAGAUGAACAUUUUGCUUUCUCUAGACUCCUUCUUUAUAUAUAAAACAACUACAUCUUUGGACCUAUAAUAACUG